CCAAUAGCGUAUAUUAAAGUUGUUGCAGUUAAAAAGCUCGUAGUUGAAUUUCGGGGUUAGUAGGUUGGUCAUGCCUCUGGUAUGUACUGGUCUCACUGAUUCCUCCUUCCGGAUGAGCCGUAAUGCCAUUAAUUUGGUGUUGCGGGGAAUUUGGACUGUUACUUUGAAAAAAUUAGAGUGUUUAAAGCAAGCUAACGCUUGAAUACAUUAGCAUGGAAUAAUGAAAUAGGACGUUCGAUCCUAUUUUGUUGGUUUCUAGGAUUGACGUAAUGAUUAAUAGGGAUAGUUGGGGGCAUUAGUAUUCAAUUGUCAGAGGUGAAAUUCUUGGAUUUAUUGAAGACUAACUACUGCGAAAGCAUUUGCCAAGGAUGUUUUCAUUAAUCAAGAACGAAAGUUAGGGGAUCGAAGACGAUCAGAUACCGUCGUAGUCUUAACCAUAAACUAUGCCGACUAGGGAUCGGAUGAUGUUAAUUUUUUAAUGACUCAUUCGGCGUCUUACG
This 500-nucleotide ribosomal RNA is filed under the name uncultured Glomeromycotina. Its description in RNAcentral is "partial small subunit ribosomal RNA". It matches the Rfam family "Eukaryotic small subunit ribosomal RNA", at positions 591 to 1092 of the family's 1831-position model. Lineage: Eukaryota; Fungi; Glomeromycota. The record is from RNAcentral.